Molecule: long non-coding RNA, 236 nt
Filed under: Elaeis guineensis (African oil palm)
Lineage: Eukaryota; Viridiplantae; Streptophyta; Magnoliopsida; Arecales; Arecaceae
Description: long non-coding RNA (EGUI_LNC034708)
Source: RNAcentral
CAUGCGGCGGUUGCCAUGACCCUCGAUUCACAAUCUCGGAUCGGAGGUGUGACAGCUAUUAAUCAGACAAAAUACGGCAUCCAAUUGCUAACGCUAAAUAAGUAGAUUAGAGGCAUGGUUUCAAACCUCUUUUGCUCUUUUCUCUUUCUUAUAUCUAUAUCUCAUCAUGCUCUAGUAUAUCUAUUCAGCAAGCCCCAUGUGAUCCGGUAGUAUGGACUGAAGAAAGAGCAUGGGGA